RNAcentral lists this long non-coding RNA (719 nucleotides) under Equus caballus (horse). RNAcentral describes it as "lncRNA (ENSECAG00000060310.1)". Lineage: Eukaryota; Metazoa; Chordata; Mammalia; Perissodactyla; Equidae. The record is from RNAcentral.
AAAGAUUAUGAUUCAAUGAACUCUUAACCCCUAAAAUAAUGUGGAAAAUUGUGAUGUGUGCAUAUAUGCAUUUUCUGGAGAGGAUUUAUUACUAUUAUUAGAUUCCCAUUACCUUGCACAGUGCCUGACACAUUGUUGAAUCUGACUAAAUAUUAGAGAGUGAAGAUGGGCUUAGAAAUCUAAUUACUCUGUAUUGACCAAAGUGAGAUGAGAGAGGUAAUCCAGAGCAAGGACUUUUUUCUACAAAAUCACUCCCAGUCUUCCUGAAGGAUGCCCCAGGAACCCUGAAGAAUGAAUCAAAACAUGCUUUCAGAUGCCUGUCGGUUGACUCCAGCUGAAUAGACUUCAUGGAAUAGUCCACAAGAUAGGAGGAUGGAAAAUAGUGCAGAAGCAAGACGGAUGGAGAAAACAGGAGCCAUGGCUCCUUAUACACUAGGUGGAGCAAGCGGGAGUCUUGGCCAGGCUGUAGGUGGUUACAGCCUCGCUUGAGGGGCAAGCAACUCCAAAUAGGUGUUCAGGAAUGGCUAGAGAUGAGGAGGAGGUAGAAGUUUCCAAAGGAUACCAGAUACGUUGGGCAGUCCUUUCACUUGGCACUAGACCCCCAUUAGUGCAUUGCUCACUAUGGGUAGGGAAUAAAAGUUUGAUGAAUUAAAGUUUUUCGUGAACUAUUUUGGAUCUGAGAAGGGACUGAAUCUAACCCAAACCCUCAACUAAUCAAC